GCGGGGCGGGAGGAGGAGAAGCCCCGGGACCCCCCGACCCGCUCCCGAGUUCCAAAAUGACCUUUCCCCGCAUCGUUUCGGAGGUAACCGAGCUGCCUAAUUAUAUUUGCACUUCCAGAAGACUGCAUCAGAGUCCCCUUAUUGGUUUGAAAUUCCAUUAAAUAUAUUGCAAGAGCUCCUAGGUUAAGCUUGAUUUAAAUUUGCAUACAUUUUCAUAUAUUUAGCAGAAAUAAAAGAAGGCUUGCAGCUACCAGAAAGUCAUUAAGGCAUUAGUUUCUCUGAGAAGACAGAUCUGAAGAAAAUUCAAGAAAAUGAGAAAAUAGAUCUAAAUAAGGUGGAGUUGAAUACAAUGUGAUUAACUACAAGCAAUGUGUUGUGAAGAUGAUGGUAUUCAGACACAUACCCAAACAAUUUGAUUCAGAUAAAUUGGAUGCAAGACUUUGACCAGCGUGAGAAGAACAGUGUCUUUCAGAUGAAGAAAGUGAAAUCCUUUUCUGCCCCUGGUGUCUGAGUAAAUUGAUAUCAAAUACUCCAAUGAAAAGACAACUGUUGUCAGCAGAGGCAAGCAACAGGAAAAUCUGGGACAGGAGGUGGCUGAAGUGCUCCAAAGGGAAGAGUCUGAAGAUGGGAACCACCUCCACCUCCGGGACUCUCCGUACCUGUGAAGCUGCUGGGGGGAGAGGAGCUCCAGCUCCAGGGAUACCCAAGGCACUGUGGAAGCAGGGAGCAUCCUAGACCCGUGGAGGAGCUCAGCAGGAGAAGAAUCAGUAGGAGAAAAUAGUCCUAAUGUUGUGUUGCUGCUGGUGGGUCAGGCAGUUUGGACAGAGGUCUGCGCUGCUCUAGCUCGUUGGAAACUUCUGUGCUUGGACCAGGAGGAUGCUACAGAUGGAGCUGAUCUGUGAAUUUCAAAUCUGUGCCUCCACCAGUGUUGACACGGUGCAAUGAUGCAGCCGAGCUCUCAGAUGUCUGGCUCGAAGAGUUGUGAAAUGAUCAAGCAGACAAACCCAACCAUUUCAGCCUUGUCAAUCUAGUUCUCAGUGGACAGAUGCCCUGGUGCUGGAAAAGCAGCAUGCCCUGCAACACCUCUUGGCAGCGUGGAAAAAAAGAGCCAGAGAUCUCUGAGACACGAAGCACGACCGGAUUCUCAGCUCCAA
This is a long non-coding RNA of Empidonax traillii (willow flycatcher), 1154 nucleotides long. RefSeq lists it as uncharacterized. The transcript is spliced from 7 exons. The record is from RefSeq and is a predicted model, not a curated record. Lineage: Eukaryota; Metazoa; Chordata; Aves; Passeriformes; Tyrannidae.